Molecule: ribosomal RNA, 237 nt
Filed under: uncultured bacterium
Lineage: Bacteria
Description: partial 16S ribosomal RNA
Rfam family: Bacterial small subunit ribosomal RNA
Source: RNAcentral
UGAGGAACAUGACCUUCGGCGGGGGAUAGCCGGCCCAACGGCCGGGUAAUACCGCGUACGACCACUCGGGGACAUCCCCAGGUGGUGAAAGCAGCAAUGCGCCGAUGGAGUGCCUCGCGGCCUAUCAGCUAGUUGGUGAGGUAACGGCUCACCAAGGCGACGACGGGUAGCUGGUCUGAGAGGAUGGCCAGCCCACAUUGGGUCUGAGACACGGCCCAGACCUCCGUACGGGAGCAG